GGUAUCAGAGCUAGCAAAUUUGGAGUAAGAAUCAACGCUUUCGGCACCGCGGUAUUAUAAUUCAAUAAAAAAAUCAAAAUUAAAAAAAAAAGUGUUCAAGUUCUUUGAUGCUGAGUUUUAAAAACUCUGUUUGCUGUCUGAAUUAGUCAUAUUAUUUUCUUCUACUAUUCGGCCACACCUAAACUAAUAUUUUUUGUUUCUAGCCCAGCUAUUGGUCCUAACAUCAAUCCUACACUAACCCGUCAACUCUGUUGCAAGCCGACCCCACUUU
Molecule: long non-coding RNA, 271 nt
Filed under: Gossypium raimondii (Peruvian cotton)
Lineage: Eukaryota; Viridiplantae; Streptophyta; Magnoliopsida; Malvales; Malvaceae
Description: long non-coding RNA (GRAI_LNC008388)
Source: RNAcentral